Molecule: ribosomal RNA, 253 nt
Filed under: uncultured bacterium
Lineage: Bacteria
Description: partial 16S ribosomal RNA
Rfam family: Bacterial small subunit ribosomal RNA
Source: RNAcentral
UACAGAGGUGGCAAGCGUUGUUCGGAAUUACUGGGCGUAAAGGGCGCGUAGGCGGCCUCGUAAGUCCUGUGUGAAAUCCCCCGGCUCAACUGGGGAACUGCACAGGAAACUGCGAGGCUUGAGUUCGGGAGAGGGAAGCGGAAUUCCGGGUGUAGCGGUGAAAUGCGUAGAUAUCCGGAGGAACACCGGUGGCGAAGGCGGCUCUGUGGACCGAGACUGACGCUGAGGCGCGAAAGCGUGGGGAGCGAACAGG